Molecule: non-coding RNA, 87 nt
Organism: Fonsecaea nubica
Lineage: Eukaryota; Fungi; Ascomycota; Eurotiomycetes; Chaetothyriales; Herpotrichiellaceae
Source: the annotation of a RefSeq genome assembly
AGUCCACUUAGGACGGUGGUUCUGCCGGUUAAUAUCUGGCGAUGAUGACCAGGUGGCAGGAUCAGAUCAGGUCCAGUCGCGGACUGC